This is a long non-coding RNA of Cyprinus carpio carpio, 1571 nucleotides long. The record is from Ensembl. NCBI's taxonomy places the organism in Eukaryota, Metazoa, Chordata, Actinopteri, Cypriniformes, Cyprinidae.
GAGGAAUUUGAUGGAGUGUUUGCCACACGACGAACAUACAGAAUGUCUUUUCGACAGGUAAACUAAACUUAAGUAUUCCUAAUUAAUAUGUUGGACCUUUUAUUAAAAGUAGCAGCCUACUUAUACCUGUUGACACAUACCUUCGCUUUUAAACACAUGCAAGAGCUGUGUUUGUGAUGUUUAAGUUAGGGAAGGUUUGGCAGGUGAAAGCGGCGUUUGGAAAGGUUGUUUGAAAACAUGUAGUUCCACUAGAUUACAGCAGCGGUGCAGACACUGCAUACUUGCAGGCCUUCUUGGACUUUUUGUCAUUUGACUCUUUUGAAAGAGUUUACAUGUGGCUUAUGUUGUGUUUUAAACCCCGUAUUCUCUUUAUGAUUUUCAGUCUUUGAUUUUUUUUUUCAGUACACAAUAUCUCUCUGUCUAGAGAUGCUUUUAAUCAUUAUUAUUGUUUUGUGCUCAUGUUUGUGGUCUUUUCCCACCCAUUGUGUUUUUUUUUUAAUGGUUUAUUUAUUUAUUGCUCGCUUGCUGUCUUUUAGGCUAAAUUAAUCAAGUUACUUUGACAUCCACUUUGACGCCAUGUUUCUUAAUUUAAUUUAAAUCAGACCUAAGAUUUGACUGUAUCUCAUGUCCCUUCUAGUUGUUUAUUAUCCUCAGACUGUUCUGUUUAUACCGUCCUCUUUGCUUUUAGCUUAUUUCCUUGUCUAUCUACAAAAGUAGCUGCCGCAUCAAACCCUACAGUGUUUUUGCUAGAUUUUCCUUCUAAUGGAUUUUCACAAAGCCUAAAUGAAUCUGCUUAGGUCAUGCAAGACUUGACAUCUAUUACAAGGGCAGGUGGUAAACAUUCACCUUUAUAUUUUAAAAGAGGCAGAGUAAAGUAUGAAUAGCCUGUUUAGUGUCAAGAUAUAUCAUUUGACAGGGCAAGUGUAAGAGAAUAUGAAAAUUGGUGUAGCAUCACAGAAACAAGUAGCAUAUUUCACACUAGUGUACAUUUUCUCCUACAUCCAGUGCAAGUUUAAGUUUAGAGACAAAUCAUGUUAGAGGCAGUGAAUAAGAUCUUUCUAGUUGUCUAGCACUUGUCUAAACAUAUGCUGUUGUAGAAACAAACAAUGAUGUCAUCCAUUGUGUAUGCAAGGCACAUCCAUGCAUAAAUAUACAUGUUUCCCUAUUCAAACACAGGCUCAUCUUAACUCUUUCAUUACACUUUCUUUCAGAAUUUAACGUUGUUUUCUAUCAAUGUUUGGAACAAAUUUUAGCAUUAUCUUUUGAGUUGCAUACAGUGCUUUUCAAUAUAUUCUGGAAUUUGGAGACUUUAUUAAAGGGAUACUCCACCCCAAAAUGAAAAUUUUGUCGUUAAUCACUUACCCCAUGUCGUUCCAAACCUGUAAAAGCUUCGUUCGUCUUCAGAACACAAUUUAAGAUAUUUUGGAUGAAAACCGGGAGGCUUGUGACUGUCCCAUAGACUGCCAAGUAAAUAACAGUGUCAAGGUCCAUAAAAGGUAUGAAAGUCGUCGUCAGAAUACUCCAUCUGCCAUCAGACGUGCAAUCUGGGUUAUAUGAAGCGACGAGAACAG